AGUGCAGGGUUCCUACAUGCAUGCGACCGCCUCCGAAUUGACGGGCUGCCUCCCAAUGGAUUACAAUAGACCGGCUGCCUCCCGUGGAACUAGACGGUACCGUAAGAAUAAGCACCGGCUAACUACGUGCCAGCAGCCGCGGUAAUACGUAGGGUGCAAGCGUUAAUCGGAAUUACUGGGCGUAAAGCGUGCGCAGGCGGUUAUAUAAGACAGAUGUGAAAUCCCCGGGCUCAACCUGGGAACUGCAUUUGUGACUGUAUAGCUAGAGUACGGCAGAGGGGGAUGGAAUUCCGCGUGUAUCAGUGAAAUGCGUAGAUUUGCGGAGGAACACCGAUGGCGAAGGCAAUCCCCUGGGCCUGUACUGACGCUCAUGCACGAAAGCGUGGGGAGCAAACAGGAUUAGAUACCCUGGUAGUCCACGCCCUAAACGAUGUCAACUGGUUGUUGGGAAUUCACUUUCUCAGUAACGAAGCUAACGCGUGAAGUUGACCGCCUGGGGAGUACGGCCGUAAGGUUGAAACUCAAA
This 526-nucleotide ribosomal RNA is filed under the name uncultured prokaryote. RNAcentral describes it as "bacterial SSU rRNA". It matches the Rfam family "Bacterial small subunit ribosomal RNA", at positions 444 to 905 of the family's 1533-position model. The record is from RNAcentral.